This 253-nucleotide ribosomal RNA is filed under the name uncultured bacterium. RNAcentral describes it as "partial 16S ribosomal RNA". It matches the Rfam family "Bacterial small subunit ribosomal RNA", at positions 524 to 776 of the family's 1533-position model. The record is from RNAcentral.
UACGUAGGCAGCAAGCGUUGUUCGGAAUUACUGGGCGUAAAGAGUGUGUAGGCGGUGUUCUAAGUUUGUCGUGAAAUCUCCCGGCUUAACUGGGAGGGUGCGGCGAAAACUGGAAUGCUAGAGGAUGGGAGAGGUAAGCGGAAUUCCUGGUGUAGCGGUGAAAUGCGUAGAUAUCAGGAGGAACACCUGUGGUGUAGACAGCUUACUGGACAAUUUCUGACGCUGAGACACGAAAGCGUGGGUAGCAAACAGG